AGUUGGUAAUUGUCUCCCACUUGUGUGGUACCAAAUGUUAAUUGCUGCUUAUCAAUCCUAGCAUGGCUGUUAUUGCAGAUUUUGCUGCUUAUGGACACAGGUUACUUCAGGAUCUGAGAACUUGUGAAUGGUGCAAUCAUGAGUGAAUAUCCGCACUUCUGAACAUAUGUUGGUAGGAAGAUCAUGAAACAGUUGAAAGUGGUUGGGCCGAGGAUAUUACUCUGAGGAUGUCUGAGAAAUUGCUCAAUGAGUUAGCAAUCACAAAGCACAGUUCGAAGUGAAAUUGACAGACAGUUUAUUAGUACGGUGAUAUCGUGAAAGAGAAAUUGAUGAAGCUGAAACAGCACAGACAGUCUGCCCAGGCAGUCAUGAAUUUCUCUUCCCCGAGCUGAGGAUGAGACCAAUUUUUAUAAUAAUCCUGUACAACAAGGCUAAUUAGAAAUUAGAAAAAUACAAUGUAUCUGGAAAUGGCGUAAUCUAUUUACAAUGAUGCUAAUAGGAAAAUAGUUAUCGGAGGAAUGUCCUGAUUCUCUACACAAUGGAGCAUUCUGACAGUAUUGAUGGUUCCAGAGCUUCCAUUCCUCUUCGCAGAUGAAGUCGAGUUUUGAACAGCUUGUGCAGCUCGGAGUCAUGGAACACCCAGGAGAGAGAGAAAAGCAAGCUCCAUGGAGAAAUGAACUUUAAGCUGUAUUGCUGAAAAGCAAUACUCCAAUUCUAAAGGACAAAUGACAUUACUGUUUGUGGGACUACACUGAUACCCAGCCAUGUGCUCUUCUAGCCUGAUGAUACAGGCGGACCAAGAUAGAAGUUGGGAAAAGAAUACCUGCAAGUAAGUUUUCUUAUCAAGUUGAUUCUACUUCUGAAACAUUCACCCAGCAGCCCCUCAGAAAGACAUCUGCAUGCUCCUUUCUGCCCUGAUGACUAUAUUUGUUUCAGACAAGUGCAAAUGGAACCAAGGCUCAAUGAGCUCCAUAACCUGCAAGAUAUUUACUACUGACAUUCUAAUUUUCAAAGCAAAAGAAUAAGUAACCAGCAUCUAGCUCAGUUGAACUGGCAGAGGUAGAACAACAUACAAAUUGUGGGAAGCAGAAAGGGGAAGAUUUCACAGUUACACAAGAGACUUCACUUGGGUGUUUGUAAUGAUACAAAUGUUGCUUAAUUUAUGAUACAGUAAAUGAGGAAAGAAUUUCUUAUUGCAUCAUUUAAGGUCCCCAAGGAUCAGAAUACUUCCUCAGAAUGGCACAGAGGAGAUUGGAAUCAGUGAAGGCUGCAUGUUUGUGAUGGGGUGAUUUGUGAUUGCAGGAUUUCAUUGUAUUUGGGGGCAUGAAGGGGCCUAAAGGGUUUCAAGUAAUGAACAGUACGUCAA
Chiloscyllium plagiosum (whitespotted bambooshark) is the source of this 1366-nucleotide non-coding RNA. The record is from RefSeq and is a predicted model, not a curated record. Lineage: Eukaryota; Metazoa; Chordata; Chondrichthyes; Orectolobiformes; Hemiscylliidae.